GAGGGUAUAGCUCAGCGGUAGAGUGUGUGCUUAGCAUGCUCAAGGUCCUGAGUUCAAUCCCCAGUACCUUCA
Molecule: transfer RNA, 72 nt
Filed under: Camelus bactrianus (Bactrian camel)
Lineage: Eukaryota; Metazoa; Chordata; Mammalia; Artiodactyla; Camelidae
Also listed under: 2 other names
Rfam family: tRNA
About the family: Transfer RNA (tRNA) molecules are approximately 80 nucleotides in length.
Source: Rfam by way of RNAcentral